Non-coding RNA from Caenorhabditis elegans, 21 nucleotides. NCBI's taxonomy places the organism in Eukaryota, Metazoa, Nematoda, Chromadorea, Rhabditida, Rhabditidae. The record is from Ensembl.
UACGAAGAGAUAAUACUAGAA